UACAGAGGGGGCAAGCGUUGUUCGGAAUUACUGGGCGUAAAGGGCGCGUAGGCGGCCUGCUAAGUCGAACGUGAAAUCCCUGGGCUCAACCCAGGAACUGCGUCCGAUACUGGUUGGCUUGAAUCCGGGAGAGGGAUGCGGAAUUCCAGGUGUAGCGGUGAAAUGCGUAGAUAUCUGGAGGAACACCGGUGGCGAAGGCGGCAUCCUGGACCGGCAUUGACGCUGAGACGCGAAAGCGUGGGGAGCGAACGGG
This 253-nucleotide ribosomal RNA is filed under the name uncultured bacterium. RNAcentral describes it as "partial 16S ribosomal RNA". It matches the Rfam family "Bacterial small subunit ribosomal RNA", at positions 524 to 776 of the family's 1533-position model. The record is from RNAcentral.